AUCAAGGUGUCUGAUUAAAGUAAUAAAUUGUAAGUUUAUAUAAGAAUUAAAUUUCUCUUGAUA
This 63-nucleotide transfer RNA is filed under the name Mileewa amplimacula. Its description in RNAcentral is "tRNA-Tyr". Lineage: Eukaryota; Metazoa; Arthropoda; Insecta; Hemiptera; Cicadellidae. The record is from RNAcentral.